This 88-nucleotide transfer RNA is filed under the name Synergistaceae bacterium. RNAcentral's name for it is "tRNA-Ser". It matches the Rfam family "tRNA". Rfam says of the family: Transfer RNA (tRNA) molecules are approximately 80 nucleotides in length. Lineage: Bacteria; Thermotogati; Synergistota; Synergistia; Synergistales; Synergistaceae. The record is from RNAcentral.
GGAGAGCUGGCCGAGUGGUCGAAGGCGGUUGACUUGAAAUCAAUUGUGGGGCAACCCACCGCGGGUUCGAAUCCUGCGCUCUCCGCCA